This 279-nucleotide ribosomal RNA is filed under the name uncultured bacterium. RNAcentral describes it as "partial 16S ribosomal RNA". It matches the Rfam family "Bacterial small subunit ribosomal RNA", at positions 506 to 784 of the family's 1533-position model. The record is from RNAcentral.
UGCCAGCCGCCGCGGUAAUACUGAAGGUGCAAGCGUUAAUCGGAAUCACUGGGCGUAAAGCGCUCGUAGGUGGCUUUGUAAGUCAGAUGUGAAAGCCCACGGCUCAACCGUGGAAUUGCAUUUGAUACUGCAUCACUAGAGUAUGGUAGAGGUAAGCGGAAUUUCCAGUGUAGCAGUGAAAUGCGUAGAGAUUGGAAGGAAUAUCGAUGGCGAAGGCAGCUUACUGGGCCAAUACUGACGCUGAGGUGCGAAAGCGUGGGUAGCGAACGGGAUUAGAUA